UACAGAGGGUGCAAGCGUUGUUCGGAAUUAUUGGGCGUAAAGGGCGCGUAGGCGGUGCGGUAAGUCCGCAGUGAAAUCUCUGGGCUCAACUCAGAGUCUGCUGUGGAAACUGCCGUGCUUGAGUGUGGGAGAGGUGAGUGGAAUUCCCAGUGUAGCGGUGAAAUGCGCAGAUAUCGGGAAGAACACCCGUGGCGAAGGCGGCUCUCUGGGACGGUACUGACGCUGAGACGCGAAAGCGUGGGGAGCGAACAGG
Molecule: ribosomal RNA, 253 nt
Filed under: uncultured bacterium
Lineage: Bacteria
Description: partial 16S ribosomal RNA
Rfam family: Bacterial small subunit ribosomal RNA
Source: RNAcentral